Molecule: ribosomal RNA, 122 nt
Filed under: uncultured bacterium
Lineage: Bacteria
Description: partial 16S ribosomal RNA
Rfam family: Bacterial small subunit ribosomal RNA
Source: RNAcentral
GUUGGGUUAAGUCCCGCAACGAGCGCAACCCCUAUUCUUAGUUGCCAGCGAUUAAAGUCGGGCACUCUAAGGAUCACUGCCUCGGUCAACGGGGAGGAAGGUGGGGAUGACGUCAAGUCAUC